UGGGAAGUCUUGGACAAUGGGCGCAAGCCUGAUCCAGCCAUGCCGCGUGAGCGAUGAAGGCCUUAGGGUUGUAAAGCUCUUUCACCGGUGAAGAUAAUGACGGUAGCCGGAGAAGAAGCCCCGGCUAACUCCGUGCCAGCAGCCGCGGUAAUACGGAGGGGGUUAGCGUUGUUCGGAAUUACUGGGCGUAAAGCGCACGUAGGCGGACCAGAAAGUUGGGGGUGAAAUCCCGGGGGCUCAACCCCCGGAACUGCCUCCAAAACUAUUGGUCUAGAGUUCGAGAGAGGUGAGUGGAAUUCCAAGUGUAGAGGUGAAAUUCGUAGAUAUUUGGAGGAACACCAGUGGCGAAGGCGGCUCACUGGCUCGAUACUGACGCUGAGGUGCGAAAAGUGUGGGGAGCAAACAGGAUUAGAUACCCUGGGUAGUCCACACCGUAAAACGAUGAAUGCCAGUCGU
Molecule: ribosomal RNA, 456 nt
Filed under: uncultured bacterium
Lineage: Bacteria
Description: bacterial SSU rRNA
Rfam family: Bacterial small subunit ribosomal RNA
Source: RNAcentral